AGAGUUUGAUCCUGGCUCAGGACGAACGCUGGCGGCGUGCCUAACACAUGCAAGUGGAGCGACGAACCGGGGCUUGCCCCGGGGCAGAGCCGCGAACGGGUGAGUAACACGUGGGUUACCUGCCCCGAUGACUGGGACAACCCGUCGAAAGACGGGCUAAUACCGGAUGUGCCCCUUGGGGGAAAGGAAGCUUCKGCCUCCGCAUCGGGAUGGGCCCGCGGCGCAUUAGCUUGUUGGUGGGGUAAUGGCUUACCAAGGCGACGAUGCGUAGCUGGUCUGAGAGGACGAUCAKCCACACUGGGACUGAGACACGGCCCAGACUCCUACGGGAGGCAGCAGUGGGGAAUCUUGCACAAUGCGCGAAAGCGUGAUGCAGCAACGCCGCGUGCGGGAAGAAGGCCUUAGGGUUGUAAACCGCUUUCAGUUGGGACGAGGCUUCGGUCGUUAAUAGCGGUUUGGAGUGACGGUACCUUCAGAAGAAGCGCCGGCUAACUACGUGCCAGCAGCCGCGGUAAUACGUAGGGCGCGAGCGUUGUCCGGAAUCAUUGGGCGUAAAGCGCGUGUAGGCGGCUGAGUAAGUCUGCUGUGAAAGUCCAGGGCUCAACCCUGGAAUGUCGGCGGAUACUGCUCAUCUGGAGUACGGSAGGGGCGAGUGGAAUUCCUGGUGUAGCGGUGGAAUGC
RNAcentral lists this ribosomal RNA (681 nucleotides) under uncultured soil bacterium. Its description in RNAcentral is "bacterial SSU rRNA". It matches the Rfam family "Bacterial small subunit ribosomal RNA", at positions 8 to 689 of the family's 1533-position model. The record is from RNAcentral.